CAGCAUCCGCGGGAAUACGUAGGUGGCAAGCGUUGUCCGGAAUUAUUGGGCGUAAAGGGCUCGCGGGCGGUUUCUUAAGUCUGAUGUGAAAGCCCCCGGCUCAACCGGGGAGGGUCAUUGGAAACUGGGAAACUUGAGUGCAGAAGAGGAGAGUGGAAUUCCACGUGUAGCGGUGAAAUGCGUAGAGAUGUGGAGGAACACCAGUGGCGAAGGCGACUCUCUGGUCUGUAACUGACGCUGAGGAGCGAAAGCGUGGGGAGCGAACAGGAUUAGAUACCCCUGUAGUCCCUGUCUCUUAUAC
This 301-nucleotide ribosomal RNA is filed under the name uncultured bacterium. Its description in RNAcentral is "partial 16S ribosomal RNA". It matches the Rfam family "Bacterial small subunit ribosomal RNA", at positions 509 to 807 of the family's 1533-position model. The record is from RNAcentral.